UGAAGAAGUCAACAUCGAGAAGGAUUCAAUUGGGAUGGAAAAAUCUUGCUAUAAGGCGGAUUUUAGAAGACGUUUAAAAUCGCUUGUUCUAGCAGCCUACAAUUAUUGAUUUUUUUGUUGUUGUUUCUUUGUUCUGCUUUUUGGCGGGAAAAACGGACGUUGGUUUUUGUUUUUGCUUCGCCCUGUUAGAAGAGAGUGCAAUCAACCCAGGCGCGGGUGUUUGCAUUGUGGUGAGUGAGCACUGAAGGGGCAGCCGCUUGCUCUUUAUGCUCAUAAUGAAGUCCACAAUAAAGAAGAAAAGUUACGCUGACCUUUCAGACCGUCAGAAGAGGCGUAGAGUUAAUGACGAACUGAUAUCUGCCAGUCCUGUUGCCACGAGUACCGUCCAAUAAGUAUCAUGGUAGGUUAAUGAAAGUAGUAACCAUGCUUCUAGUGAAGUAUCCUCGCCACAUGAGGAUGCUCAAUCCAAGGACAGUUUUCACGAAAGUGACCUUGCCUUGAAAGGAGAAAAUGUAGAAGCACAUACGCAAGACAUUUCUAGAGAAUAUUUUGUUCCACAAAACGACCCUCCUAUGAGCGCGGGCAUCGAAAAUGGAGGUUCUUCGGACUAUGCAUCAUCAUCUGCAGAAAAUCAGGCAAGUCUUUGUCCACGUAAAUGUGUGGAAUUUCAAGGAUGGCUUGCAUCAUGGGUUACAAGUCACCGAAUUCCGCUUGUCGCAGUUUCUGAACUUCUCCGGAAACUAAGCACCACUUUCGACGUUGAUUUUGUCAUCGACGCGAGGACAUUGUUGAACAGUCCUCGAUACACUUCAACGCGAUCUGUCCCUCCUGGCGAAUAUUGCCAUUUUUCUUUGAAGGAAAAUUUAGAACGCAUGAUUGCUGUGUUCCUGAGUGGCUGUCGAGGGUAGAUCCCUUGACAACGCUCAGAGAAUUUUAAAUGACAAUGUCAGCCAAGUUGGACUGACGGUUCAAACUGUAAAAUGUUUUGAUAUUGUUUGUCGCAGUUUUCGUUUUGUCUGUUUGGUUAACCUGUUUUACUUUGACCGAAAGGAAGAAAAAGACACCGUAGUCUAGUUGCUAGAGAACCGGCUGCUGUGCCCCACGGCAGAGGUUCGAUUCCAUUAUAGGUUGCACAUCACUUUUUUGUAUUAUAAAGCGAGUUAGGAACCUACCUACCUACCGCAAAGUGCCAAGAAUGAGGCAUUAAAAAGUUCGACUUUUGUUAUUUCAAAUUAUCUUUGUAAGGUGGCGCUAGCAUUAUGGUAGCAGCCGCAUUUUGUAUUUUCUUAGUUAAAUUAGCUAGCAUUUCUGUGCUUCAGGUACCGAGUACGAAGCCACACUGAGUAUUUUUCUGCAUUGCAGCAGCGUGUGUCGCAAGAGGAUGCAGCGCCGCGACGUAUCAUAGCGGCUACCUGACAAAGCGAGGAGUGGCGCGACGGCUCAUCGGCGUCAUCGCUUGCGCCGACGCAGUCUGAGCAGCCGAGCGGACUGCGCUCUCCGCGCAGCUUCCCUCCAGAUUGCGUAACUUUUGAACCCGCCGUUACAUUCACCGUUAUUUUUGUCAGGACCAGCCGUUAAGUUCCUGACGCGUAUUCGUUCAUGAACUGCGGAGCGCCAGACUGCCUUCCACAUCUUCUUUGCUCACGCACAUACCUACGUGCAAGAGAGAAGGCGCGUGAGGGUGAAGACACCGAUCAUGUACCCUCUACAGGUGCCGAAAGGGGCAGACGAAAACGCCGCCGCCCAAAGGGCCACCACGAAACUCCUGAACUCCAAGAACCCAGUAAGAAGACCUGCUGAAUUAAGGAGCUACAGCCCAGCAGCCUGUUCGAAACCAGGUUUAUCAAGGUCGAUACCUGUAAUGGACGUUACUCGGAGGCACUCAUAUUUAAUGUUGAUUGCUAGCUUGUCUAGUCGUGUUUACUUUUUGCAAUAAAAAAUGUUAUUGCUGUA
Dermacentor silvarum is the source of this 1953-nucleotide long non-coding RNA. RefSeq lists it as uncharacterized. The transcript is spliced from 3 exons. Lineage: Eukaryota; Metazoa; Arthropoda; Arachnida; Ixodida; Ixodidae. The record is from RefSeq and is a predicted model, not a curated record.